Molecule: long non-coding RNA, 841 nt
Filed under: Heterocephalus glaber (naked mole-rat)
Lineage: Eukaryota; Metazoa; Chordata; Mammalia; Rodentia; Bathyergidae
Description: lncRNA (ENSHGLG00000041164.1)
Source: RNAcentral
GUGAAAUCUUUCAAUUGCAAACUCACAGUUCAGUGAGAAGAAAGCCUUCAAUGGAUCUAGUUGUGUUGGUGCUUGGUUUCUCCUGUCUGCUCCUCCUUUCACUCUGGAGACACUGCUAUGGUGGCUCACAAAGGAGGAAAAGAAUACCUGUUGAUAAACAAAAUAUAGUUUAAAAGGGAUUUAUGAUUUUUGGCUGCAAGUUAAUGGUAAGGGAGUUUUGAUUAGAGAUUUUAUUAGUUCUCAGAAGUCUGUGGUCCUGUGUUUACUCUGUAUUUUGGCAUGAAAUUCACUGUGGUACUAGAUGCAUAUGAAGAUGUGAGAGAAGCCCUGGUUCAACUUGGGGGGGGGCAGAGUUUACUGGAAGAGGCAGUGUUUCACUGGCUGAAAAUUUCAUAAAGGCUUUGGUAAUUAUACAUGUGCCUGAUGUGCACAAGUGUGUGGUUGUCAGUGGUCAUGGGGAUAAGGAAGAUUGAAACAGGCUUGAAGAGCUCCUUAGAGAGAACUUAUCUGUGUGACUUCCACAUUCAGCUUCCCCUUUCUUGCUUGUGCUCGCCCUCAAUUAGGAAUUGUUUUCAGCAGUAGAAGGUCUCUUUCAUGACUUUAUGAAAUUUGUGAAUGAGGAAGAGGACUAUUGAGAAUCAUGUUCAAGAGGAAGCCCACUGUCUUGUGGAAGAGCUGAGAAAAACCAGUGGUUUGAGCUCGCAGGCUGAUUCCUACAGUCAGCCUACACGAUGGACAAAAUUUAAAAUUUAUGAAGACCAUCUGUGGAUGAUUACAGAGAGCAUAUCCUAUUCCACACCAUUACACCAGAAACUCUACAGACUUAUGGAUCAGGAAUCAU